CCUACGGGAGGCAGCAGUGAGGAAUAUUGGUCAAUGGGCGCGAGCCUGAACCAGCCAAGCAGCGUGAAGGAUGACUGCCCUACGGGUUGUAAACUUCUUUUAUAAAGGAAUAAAGUGAGGCACGUGUGCCUUUUUGUAUGUACUUUAUGAAUAAGGAUCGGCUAACUCCGUGCCAGCAGCCGCGGUAAUACGGAGGAUCCGAGCGUUAUCCGGAUUUAUUGGGUUUAAAGGGAGCGUAGAUGGGUUGUUAAGUCAGUUGUGAAAGUUUGCGGCUCAACCGUAAAAUUGCAAUUGAUACUGGCAGUCUUGAGUACAGUAGAGGUAGGCGGAAUUCGUGGUGUAGCGGUGAAAUGCUUAGAUAUCACGAAGAACUCCGAUUGCGAAGGCAGCUUACUAGACUGCCACUGACAUUGAUGCUCGAAAGUGUGGGGAGCAAACAGGAUUAGAUACCCCAGUAGUC
RNAcentral lists this ribosomal RNA (460 nucleotides) under uncultured bacterium. RNAcentral's name for it is "partial 16S ribosomal RNA". It matches the Rfam family "Bacterial small subunit ribosomal RNA", at positions 338 to 795 of the family's 1533-position model. The record is from RNAcentral.